Molecule: long non-coding RNA, 629 nt
Organism: Toxorhynchites rutilus septentrionalis
Lineage: Eukaryota; Metazoa; Arthropoda; Insecta; Diptera; Culicidae
Exons: 3
Source: RefSeq, a predicted model, not a curated record
AUUUGUGUCGGCAACCUUUUCGUUCAAUUGCUGUUGACGUUUUGAUUUCUGCGUUCAUUGAAUUUCAAUAUCUGUCAGUGGUGAUACAAAACAGUGUUUACAAUAUUGGCGCAUCUGUUUCUAUGAACGAACGAGAUGAAAUGCCAUCAAUAUGCAAGUUCUCUUGAUAUACCGUCCGGGAAAAGUGCUGAAUUGGUCAAGGAUGCGUAUAAUAUUGGAGAUUGAGCAAGAAGCACAGAAUCCGCUGGAUGUGUUUUUUCCAAGUUAACAGCAAUUGUUGCUGUCUGUUGUUAUCAGCGAGCCGAAAUAAGUAUGUUAGAUAGCCUAAGAUUGGAUAAUUCUGGUCAGAUUUCCCGGGAAACCGUUAUCAUCCCUGAUUCUCGAUUGUACCAUGUGCGAAGGUGCGGUCUGCGAAUAUGUGACCCCUGGGAGAAUUUUUCAUAUUUAGCGUUAGUGUAUACAUAAAUCAUUCUUUAGAAGAAUUGUUGAAAAUUUUUCUGUUUUCUUUAUAUAAUUCUUUUCGGCUGUAUUCUUAUUUCAAUGAUUUUUUUAUGUUUGUAAAUAUUGUUUGCUGGUUUGUGGUAUUACUCCAACGAAAAAUAAAUAUAUACAUCCAUUUUUUAGAAAUA